ACGGGGUGCAGCAGGCGCGAAAACUUCGCACUGCGCGAAAGCGCGACGAGGGAAUCCCAAGUGUAUGCACGUAAGUGUAUACUGUUUCUCUGUCUAAAAAGCAUAGAGAGUAAGAGCUGGGUAAGACGGGUGCCAGCCGCCGCGGUAAUACCUGCAGCUCUAGUGGUGGCCGCUAUUAUUAGGCCUAAAACGUCCGUAGCCGGCUUAUUAAAUGCCCGGGUAAAUUGUACGGCUUAACCGUACGAAUUCCGGGUAGACUGAUAGGCUUGGGACCGGGAGAAGCUAGAGGUACUCCUGGGGUAGAGGUGAAAUUCUGUAAUCCUAGGGGGACCACCAGUGGCGAAGGCGUCUAGCUAGAACGGGUUUGACGGUGAGGGACGAAGCCCUGGGGAGCAAACGGGAUUAGAUACCCCGGUAGUCCAGGGUGUAAACGCUGCUUGCUUGAUGUUAGUCGGGCUCCGAGCCCGAUUAGUGUCGGAGAGAAGUUGUUAAGCAAGCUGCCUGGGAAGUACGAUCGCAAGACUGAAACUUAAAGGAAUUGGCGGGGGAGCAC
This 553-nucleotide ribosomal RNA is filed under the name uncultured archaeon. RNAcentral describes it as "bacterial SSU rRNA". It matches the Rfam family "Archaeal small subunit ribosomal RNA", at positions 325 to 879 of the family's 1478-position model. The record is from RNAcentral.